RNAcentral lists this ribosomal RNA (460 nucleotides) under uncultured bacterium. Its description in RNAcentral is "partial 16S ribosomal RNA". It matches the Rfam family "Bacterial small subunit ribosomal RNA", at positions 338 to 795 of the family's 1533-position model. The record is from RNAcentral.
CCUACGGGAGGCAGCAGUGAGGAAUAUUGGUCAAUGGACGCAAGUCUGAACCAGCCAUGCCGCGUGCAGGAAGACGGCCCUAUGAGUUGUAAACUGCUUUUGUACGAGGGUAAACUCAGAUACGUGUAUCUGACUGAAAGUACCGUACGAAUAAGGAUCGGCUAACUCCGUGCCAGCAGCCGCGGUAAUACGGAGGAUUCAAGCGUUAUCCGGAUUUAUUGGGUUUAAAGGGUGCGUAGGCGGUCGGAUAAGUUAGAGGUGAAAUCCCGAGGCUCAACUUCGGAAUUGCCUCUGAUACUGUUCGGCUAGAGAGUAGCUGCGGUAGGCGGAAUGUAUGGUGUAGCGGUGAAAUGCUUAGAGAUCAUACAGAACACCGAUUGCGAAGGCAGCUUACCAUGCUACUUCUGACGUUGAGGCACGAAAGCGUGGGGAGCAAACAGGAUUAGAUACCCCAGUAGUC